CUACGGAGGGUGCAAGUGUUAUUCGGAAUCACUGGGCGUAAAGGACGCGUAGGCGGGUUGGCAAGUCAGAUGUGAAAUCCUACAGCUUAACUGUAGAACUGCAUUUGAAACUGCUAACCUAGAGUAUGCGAGGGGGAGAUGGAAUUAGUGGUGUAGGGGUAAAAUCCGUAGAUAUCACUAGGAAUACCGAAAGCGAAGGCGAUCUCCUGGAACAUAACUGACGCUAAGGCGUGAAAGCGUGGGGAGCAAACAGAAUUAGAAACCCUAGUAGUCC
Molecule: ribosomal RNA, 274 nt
Filed under: uncultured bacterium
Lineage: Bacteria
Description: partial 16S ribosomal RNA
Rfam family: Bacterial small subunit ribosomal RNA
Source: RNAcentral